AUGCAAGUCGAACGGUAACAUUUCUAGCUUGCUAGAAGAUGACGAGUGGCGGACGGGUGAGUAAUGCUUGGGAACUUGCCUUUGCGAGGGGGAUAACAGUUGGAAACGACUGCUAAUACCGCAUAAUGUCUUCGGACCAAACGGGGCUUCGGCUCCGGCGCAAAGAGAGGCCCAAGUGAGAUUAGCUAGUUGGUAAGGUAACGGCUUACCAAGGCGACGAUCUCUAGCUGUUCUGAGAGGAAGAUCAGCCACACUGGGACUGAGACACGGCCCAGACUCCUACGGGAGGCAGCAGUGGGGAAUAUUGCACAAUGGGGGAAACCCUGAUGCAGCCAUGCCGCGUGUGUGAAGAAGGCCUUCGGGUUGUAAAGCACUUUCAGUUGUGAGGAAAAGUUAGUAGUUAAUACCUGCUAGCCGUGACGUUAACAACAGAAGAAGCACCGGCUAACUCCGUGCCAGCAGCCGCGGUAAUACGGAGGGUGCGAGCGUUAAUCGGAAUUACUGGGCGUAAAGCGCACGCAGGCGGUUUGUUAAGCUAGAUGUGAAAGCCCCGGGCUCAACCUG
RNAcentral lists this ribosomal RNA (564 nucleotides) under uncultured bacterium. RNAcentral's name for it is "bacterial SSU rRNA". It matches the Rfam family "Bacterial small subunit ribosomal RNA", at positions 55 to 616 of the family's 1533-position model. The record is from RNAcentral.